This 1656-nucleotide long non-coding RNA is filed under the name Capsicum annuum. Its description in RNAcentral is "long non-coding RNA (CANN_LNC010900)". Lineage: Eukaryota; Viridiplantae; Streptophyta; Magnoliopsida; Solanales; Solanaceae. The record is from RNAcentral.
UUUAACUCAUGCUUAAGUCUGACGACAACUGUGAUAGCCUAUCACAGGGCUGAUGACUUAUCACCGAUAUCGUCAGCCACACUUCUCUUCAGAUUCCUCCAGAUUUUAACUUUUUUGCUUCAAUUCUUGUUGGUUCUCUAUCCCAUCAGCUUAAACUGUAAAAUCAGACAUAAACAAAUCAAAAAUGACAAAAAUUACUUAAGAUUUCACAAUUAUUCUUGGUUAAAGGUCUUAAAUGUGUUAGCAAUUGCUCACAUAUCAACACCCUCAACUUAAAACAAUUAUUUGUCCUCAAGCAACUCAACCCAACUAAGAGAAUAUAUAGCACAUUCAGCAGCCAAUUUUCUCUUUUAAGCUUAAACAUAGUUAUCACCUCCAAGGUCAAUCCAAUUAAAACCAACUAUGUAUGUCAUUGAAGAACAAUAAUGUAAAACAAAGGACUCAAGCGAUGGCAUCAAUCUUAGCCACAACAACCAUUCAUAUACUAAUGUUGCACUAUCUAAACAAGAAAGUACCGAAGAACAAUACUGUUAUUCACUCACAAUAAAGAACUCCCUCUCCUCACAUAUGAUAAACCAAAAAUCUAAACGUGGGGAUCAUCAAAAGACUCUCACUCUUAAAACAAAACUCCAAUCAGUGUAUGCCAAGUACCAUAGGCUUGCCCUUCUUUUCAUUUCCAAGACCUUUAGAUAGGACAGCUAGGAUCAUAAUAGGACUUCUUUUAGGCUUAUAAUAUAGGCUGGGGGUGGUAUAAUAUUCAAGGACAUUUAGAGUGACUAUGCCUCCUUGACACUACACUACUCUCUUGGGGCUUACUUAUUAACCUCUUUUUUGUUCUCUUUUCUAUUGAUCGCACAUAUUCAAGUUGGGUGCCUCUCUCCCCUUUUUUUUGAAUAGCACCCAACUUUUAUUCCUUUUCCUUUGUUUUACCCUUCUUCAUAUUCCUAUUACACCAUGUACUCCUAUGAUAGCGACCCUCAACUUAGGUUGUUUGCCUAGGUCAAGGUGCACAGUGUCUAAGGAGGAACAGGGCCAAAACAGUUUUAUUAUGGUAUAAAUGGGAAGGUGAAAGGUGUCAUAAGAAAGAAAUAGGUUAAUUAGGCUCAAAAAAUGGAUCAAGGGACAUGAUGCACAUAAGGAAGUCUAGUUAGGCUAAAAGUGGGUUAAUUAACAAAACGGCCUAUGAUCCUUUCCUAACUCCUAUCGUAUGACCAUUACAAGACUAACUGGGUAAGUUCCAGAUUUAACAGACAACGGGAGCUGAGUAAGACCUUACACACACAUGGCACGCGAGUAUAUCAUAGACCACCACUUAUCUAGUUUAUGCAAUUGUUCAGCAAUGAUCAUCAAGCAUCUAGAACUAAUGCCACAACAAGAUUCACAAGUAAAUAUAAAUCACACAGUUUUUGCAAACAAAACAUUGGAGAGGUUUUUAAAAAUUAAUCAAAAAUAUGUCAACUGCUUUCUGUAUUUGUAUUUCUCCUAGUUACCACAAGAUAAGUUACAACAACAGACUACCCUACACCCUCAACUCAAAAUCAAAGCAAAACUAAACUAAGGGUUAGAGUAUACCUGGAAUGGAUUAAUCUCGGGGGUCACGGGUUGCCUCCCAUAUAGUGCCUGAUUUAGCGUCGUGGCACGACUCAGGUAUCUCGA